UCCGAAGGGGGCUAUCGUUGUUCGGAAUUACUGGGCGUAAAGCGAACGCAGGCGGAUUGAUAAGUCAGGGGUGAAAUCCCGGGGCUUAACCUCGGAAUUGCCUUUGAUACUGUCUGUCUUGAGUCCGGGAGAGGUGAGUGGAAUUCCUAGUGUAGAGGUGAAAUUCGUAGAUAUUAGGAAGAACACCAGUGGCGAAGGCGGCUCACUGGCCCGGAACUGACGCUCAUGUGCGAAAGCGUGGGGAGCAAACAGG
RNAcentral lists this ribosomal RNA (253 nucleotides) under uncultured bacterium. RNAcentral describes it as "partial 16S ribosomal RNA". It matches the Rfam family "Bacterial small subunit ribosomal RNA", at positions 524 to 776 of the family's 1533-position model. The record is from RNAcentral.